GGACGGGUGAGUAACACGUGAGUAGCUGUCCUAGGGAGGGGGAUAACGCCUGGAAACGGGUGCUAAAACCCCAUAAGCCUCGCAAGAGGUGAAAGUGUACUUGUUACAGCCUUAGGGUGUGCUCGCGGCCUAUCAGCUAGUUGGUGAGGUAAGGGCUCACCAAGGCUAAGACGGGUAGCCGGCCUGAGAGGGUGUACGGCCACACUGGAAUUGAGAUACGGUCCAGACUCCUACGGGAGGCAGCAGUGGGGAAUUUUGGGCAAUGGGCGAAAGCCUGACCCAGCGACGCCGCGUUGGGGAUGAAGUCCUUCGGGGCGUAAACCCAUGUUGUAGGGGAAGAAGAAAGUGACGGUACCCUACGAGAAAGCCCCGGCCAACUACGUGCCAGCAGCCGCGGUAAAACGUAGGGGGCGAGCGUUGUCCGGAAUUACUGGGCGUAAAG
This 442-nucleotide ribosomal RNA is filed under the name uncultured bacterium. RNAcentral's name for it is "bacterial SSU rRNA". It matches the Rfam family "Bacterial small subunit ribosomal RNA", at positions 100 to 565 of the family's 1533-position model. The record is from RNAcentral.